This 825-nucleotide ribosomal RNA is filed under the name uncultured Alphaproteobacteria bacterium. RNAcentral describes it as "bacterial SSU rRNA". It matches the Rfam family "Bacterial small subunit ribosomal RNA", at positions 11 to 880 of the family's 1533-position model. Lineage: Bacteria; Pseudomonadati; Pseudomonadota; Alphaproteobacteria. The record is from RNAcentral.
GUUUGAUCCUGGCUCAGAGCGAACGCUGGCGGCAUGCUUAACACAUGCAAGUCGCACGGGCACUUCGGUGUCAGUGGCGGACGGGUGAGUAAUGCGUAGGUAUCUAUCCUUGGGUGGGGGACAACGGUUGGAAACGACUGCUAAUACCGCAUGAUAACUGAGGUUUAAAGGCGCAAGUCGCCUGAGGAGGAGCCUGCGUACGAUUAGCUAGUUGGUGGGGUAAAGGCCUACCAAGGCGACGAUCGUUAGCUGGUCUGAGAGGAUGAUCAGCCACAUUGGGACUGAGACACGGCCCAAACUCCUACGGGAGGCAGCAGUGGGGAAUAUUGGACAAUGGGCGAAAGCCUGAUCCAGCAAUGCCGCGUGUGUGAAGAAGGUCUUCGGAUUGUAAAGCACUUUCGACAGGGACGAUGAUGACGGUACCUGUAGAAGAAGCCCCGGCUAACUUCGUGCCAGCAGCCGCGGUAAUACGAAGGGGGCUAGCGUUGCUCGGAAUGACUGGGCGUAAAGGGCGCGUAGGCGGAUGGCACAGUCAGAUGUGAAAUUCCCGGGCUUAACCUGGGGGCUGCAUUUGAUACGUGUGAUCUAGAGUGAGGAAGAGGGUCGUGGAAUUCCCAAUGUAGAGGUGAAAUUCGUAGAUAUUGGGAAGAACACCGGUGGCGAAGGCGGCGACCUGGUCCUUUACUGACGCUGAGGCGCGAAAGCGUGGGGAGCAAACAGGAUUAGAUACCCUGGUAGUCCACGCUGUAAACGAUGUGUGCUGGAUGUUGGGCGACCUAGUCGCUCAGUGUCGUAGCUAACGCGAUAAGCACACCGCCUGGGGAG